GGCCACAGCCUUAUCACUUAUCACCCUACAGCUCAAGACCAGGUUAAUCACUGAAGCUAAGCAGGGCUGAGCCUGGUCAGUACCUAGAUGGGAGACCACAUGGGAAAACUAGGUUGCUGUUGGAA
Molecule: ribosomal RNA, 125 nt
Organism: Danio rerio (zebrafish)
Lineage: Eukaryota; Metazoa; Chordata; Actinopteri; Cypriniformes; Danionidae
Source: Ensembl